AACGCGAAGAACCUUACCAACCUUUGACAUGGGGAUUUUGGGGAUCAGAGAUGGUCUUCUUCAGUUCGGCUGGGUCCCACACAGGUGCUGCAUGGCUGUCGUCAGCUCGUGUCGUGAGAUGUUGGGUUAAGUCCCGCAACGAGCGCAACCCUCAUCUUCAGUUGCCAUCAUUAAGUUGGGCACUCUGAAGAAACUGCCGGUGACAAGCCGGAGGAAGGUGGGGAUGACGUCAAGUCCUCAUGGCCCUUACGGGUUGGGCUACACACGUGCUACAAUGGCGGUGACAAUGGGUCGCAAGCGUGCGAACGCAAGCCAAUCUCAAAAAGCCGUCUCAGUUCGGAUUGCACUCUGCAACUCGAGUGCAUGAAGUCGGAAUCGCUAGUAAUCGUGGAUCAGCAUGCCACGGUGAAUACGUUCCCGGGCCUUGUACACACCGCGCAGUA
RNAcentral lists this ribosomal RNA (443 nucleotides) under uncultured bacterium. RNAcentral's name for it is "bacterial SSU rRNA". It matches the Rfam family "Bacterial small subunit ribosomal RNA", at positions 958 to 1399 of the family's 1533-position model. The record is from RNAcentral.